This 4055-nucleotide long non-coding RNA is filed under the name Bos indicus x Bos taurus (hybrid cattle). RNAcentral describes it as "lncRNA (ENSBIXG00000005699.1)". Lineage: Eukaryota; Metazoa; Chordata; Mammalia; Artiodactyla; Bovidae. The record is from RNAcentral.
AUGACACCACUCCCACUGCAACCAUGGAGACCAGUUUAUGGGAGGCAGUGUUUGUUGUUGUUUUUUAAUUUCCCCUCCUUCCCUCCCUCCCUCCCUUCUUCCUCUCUUUCCCACCUUCUUUCUUCUCUCCCUCCUUCUCUUCCUUCCUUCCUCCCUCUCCCCCUCCAUCUUUCUCUUCCUCCUUCCCUCCCUCCUUUUUUCUUCCUCCCUCCUUUUCUUCCUUCCUUCCCUCCCUCCCUUCUUUCACCUUUUUUUGUAGAAAACAUCAGCCUAACCCAUUCCCACCUGUCAGGAAUCAUUCCCUGGCCUUUCAGCUCCUUCCCAGAACUAUUUGGCAACUGGACAUCCUGCAGGAGAAUCAGAGGUGGGAAAGCAAAGAGACUGAACAUCUGUUACCUAAGGAAGAAGCCAGCAGUCAGGAUGAAAUCUGGAACUGCUGAGCUGGUGUGGGAGCCACUGAGCUGGUGUCUAGGGAGGCAAAGCUGCCCUUGUUACAAAAUGGUACCUGGAUGGGAGAGUACAGCCUGGUUCUCUUUCCAUUACAUGCCCCCAACACAGGUUUACUGGGAAGAGAACAUGAGGUAAGAUGGCUUUGCUCCUCCUCUUUCUCUGAGAUGCUUUGGUUUGUGGACAUGGAGCCUGGCUAGUCUCGGUGCCCAUCUGCAGAUAAGGGGGGAAGACUUGCAGCCCUGGUAAAGACAGCAGGACAUCUCUGGAGGCACUCAGUGCAGAGGGUCAGGUGAAACCAGCUAUGGCCCCACUUCACAAUGACUCAUUAAUUAGGGGGUGAAAAAUAGGUCAGAUUUCCAUUUCAAAGUAGAGUGGCGUGCAGAAAUUCAAUACUAUGCAAAUCAGAAUUUUGUAUGACAAAACAGUAUCUUUCCAUGUAAGUUUGGUUGGACAGUUGUGGUAAUAUAAAUGCUAUUAGUGAGUACACUGUCUUAGCCCUGGGGUAUGACUUAAUGGUCCCAGGUACACAAAAUUUCUAUCAGUCAUUUAGUGAUAUUUUUUUUUUUUAAGAAAAGCAAAUGUGGACCAUUACUGCUAUGGCCCUACAUUCAUGCUGACAUGCUUUGCAAGAAAUCUCAUUGCAUUAUUUAUUUCAGAGUCAAAGUGCUUACUUUAUGGAGAAGGUAAAAUUUCACCUGUAGGAAAAUUGGCACAAUUUCUUAUUUUAACAUCCUCAGUGCCAAGCAUUAAAAAAGGCCCUUUCUGUUUGGGUAAUUUUCCGCAGCAGGAACUUUAAAUUAUUUACAGCUUCUCUUAUCUGAAACCAGAGGAAACACACCGUUUUCCAUGCCACGAUUUAUACUGUGAACUGUUUGUAGGAAAAAAAAGUGGGGGCGGGGAGUAAAUUACAGAUGUGAGCAAGAAUCAGAGACAGAGCAAAGGAUUGUCACAAAACCAUGGUGUCUUUCUCUUGUGGAAGCUGAGGUGGGUCUAAGGGACCCUGGGAGGGCAGGGAACAUCAAGAUGGUUAGAAAUUGCCUUGUUUUGGGGAGCUUCUGCAGUGGUUCCCAAAUAAGCAACAGUGAAUGACCAAAAGCUGGAAUGAAAUGAGCAAAACCUGGGUGGGUAAUUGGAGGCACUGCUAGACAGAGACCUUGAUCCCCGGGUCAAGAAGAUCCCCUGGAGUAGGAAAUGUCAACAGUUCCAUGAACAGAGGAGCCUAGUGGGCUAUAGUCAGUCACAAAGAGUCUGACAUGACCAAGCACGAGUUCUAGCUAGCUAGACAGAGACCAGGGCUGGUGGCUCAGGUUGUAGCAAUAAGGCUUGGCUGUGUCUUAUGGGAAGUGUCAGCGAAGUAUACUGGUGGACAGAGCAUCUGUGUUCCUGGAGAGGCCAGAGGCAUUUUCCCUUCCUCCCUUCUCAGCCUUUAGCCUUCCUCAGCCUUAUUAUCACACUCCCUUCCUACUGAAUUGCGCUAUCCUGAGGCAUCCUCUGAUUAGUGUUGCCAGAUGUUCCUGGUCUUGGUCCCCUCCUCUGAUUAAGAAUUUCACAUCUUGGUUUUGAACUGAUCUCCUGUCAGUUUAAUUAGUGAGGGUGAGUCUGUUGAGCCUGAUUUUCUGGACCUGUACGGUCAGAAUCACACCUAAAAACUGAGAGAGCAGACUCUUUGCAGUUCUCCUGUGCCCUCCUUCUGCUUCUAUUAAUUGACUCAGUUCAACUAAAUACAACAGUAACAACAGGGGUUUAUACUGAUUAAGCUGCAUUAUGAUGAGUAUCAAAAGGGUUGUCUCCCUUGAUUCUUAGCUCAAUGAAAUACAUAGACUAACACACAUUUUGCAGCUAGAGAAAUUGAAACUCACACAGGUAGGGAGAGGUGUUGGCAGGAUUCACACGAGCCACCUGCCUGCAGAAAACAACUUCCCACCUCAGAAACCACCUGUGAUGCUGAGGAGCAAGUGAGCCCUCCUCACUGGACCUCAUCAUGUGAUGUCGUUCAGGAGGCUCUGCCUCACCAUCCGUUUAACCUACUAUUACCAACUGUGAUACUGUUGUUAAUAACAGAACAUGUAUUACUGUGUUGUGCUCAGUCAUGUCUGAUUCUGUGAUCCCAUGGACUGUAGCCUGCCAGGCUCCUCUGUCCAUGGAAUUUCCCAGGAAAGAAUACUGGAGUAGGUGUCCAUUUCCUCCUCCAGGGGAUUUCUCGACUCAGGGAUCAAACCCAUGUCUCCUGUAUCUCCUGCUUUGGCAGGUGGAUUCUUUACCACUGAGCCACUUGGGAAACCUGAACAUUUAUUGAGUAUGUUAUAAUUUUCAAAACGUUUCCUCAUCAUGCUCUCUUUUGAACCUCACAACAGGUACAGGACAAAUGUUUUCACCUUCUUUUACGGUAGAAUAGCAUAACUCAGGAGUGUAUGCCUAAGGUUACCAGCCAAAUGAGCAAAGAAUGAAACAGAGCCCUCUGAUCAUGAGGCCUGACCAUGUUGCCCUCCCUCAUAAGCCCACCAUACCUCUCCUGUUCCAAGACUUCUGUUUCCAAUCACAACAGUCAUUCAUUAAAUUUUGGCAACAAUGAGUGUCAGGGUGUCAGGGCUUCAGGUGAGGGGACCACAAUGAUGGGCAGCCAGGGAGCAGAAGGGGUCAUAUUAUCUUUUCAUUUCUGUGGCAGUCUACACCCCAACCAGGAGACAUGCUAGGGCUCAGGGCAAGGAAGGUUUGAGUCUUGAAAAAAGUUGCCCCUGAGAAGGCUGGGCACAAUUUCCUAGCGAUUGUGCUGGGGGAGAACAGAGAGAUUCUUUAAUCAGAGAAGGACUGAUACAGAAGACCCAUCCCAUUAAGUCAAAGGCAGUGUAGAGACUGGCAAGUGGUGAGGAGAAGCACAAAGCAAACUGGAGAUAAGUGCCACGUGCUUGAGCAACAGGAGCUUCAUUGUGAUUGCUGUUGUGAUAAGAGAGUCUUUGUCUAAAUAACAGCUGUUUAGACAUAGGGUGGAAUGAAGAAACAGCUUGGGAGGCCUUGGAGGUCCUGCCAACAGUGAACUUUGGAGUCAUCAGAAUUCUACUGCAUUACAUACUGGAUCUGUAAUCUGGACCAAGGAGCUUAUCCCUCUUUGCUCCAAGUUGUCCAACUGAAAAACAGGAAUAACACUUCAUUCAUGACAAUGUUCUGAGAAUUAAAUGUGAUGACAUACACAGACAGCCUCACAGAGGAUCUGGCACACACUGGAGCAUCAGUCCAUGCUAUUUCCUGUCUUUCUUGUCUCUUCUUCCACACCGUGAAUGAGGACCAUGGCUCCAUCUCAUGGGAUAAAUGACUUAGUCCAAACCCAACAGUUGGCACGUUCAGAAAUCUGCCUAGUAGUGAUCCAGUCCAGGCAAGGAGAAAUAUAUCUUUCCUUUGAGAAGCUUCUGGUCUUCAUUGGGUGGGGAGAAGCAUAUGCUAAAAUAACUAAGCCACAUUCAAUCCACAGGGUGACAAAGAGUCAGACAUGACUGAGCGAUUCACACGUUCAAAUAUAAACUGAAUCACUUUGUUGUACACCUGAAACUAACACAAUUUUAUAAAUUAACUAUACUUCAAUAAACAAAUGGAAUAAAAUAGAAAGCCCA